AGAAACCAACAGGGAUUGCCUCAGUAACGGCGAGUGAAGCGGCAUAAGCUCAAAUUUGAAAUCUGGCUCUUUCAGGGUCCGAGUUGUAAUUUGUAGAAGAUGUUUCGGGUGUGGUUCCGGUCUAAGUUCCUUGGAACAGGACGUCAUAGAGGGUGAGAAUCCCGUAUGUGACUGGAUACCUACGCCCAUGUGAAACUCUUUCGACGAGUCGAGUUGUUUGGGAAUGCAGCUCAAAAUGGGUGGUAUAUUUCAUCUAAAGCUAAAUAUUGGCCAGAGACCGAUAGCGCACAAGUAGAGUGAUCGAAAGAUGAAAAGCACUUUGGAAAGAGAGUUAAACAGUACGUGAAAUUGUUGAAAGGGAAGCGCUUGCAAUCAGACUUGCGCCUAGUUGAUCAUCCGGGCUUUUGUCCGGUGCACUCAAUUAGGCUCAGGCCAGCAUCGGUUUGGGUGGUUGGAUAAAGGCUUAGGGAACGUGGCCCCCUUCGGGGGGUGUUAUAGCCCUAGGUGCAAUGCAGCCUACCUGGACCGAGGACCGCGCUUCGGCUAGGAUGCUGGCGUAAUGGUUGUAAGCGACCCGUCUUGAAACACGGACCAAGGAGUCGACCUAUUUAGCGAGUGUUUGGGUGUUAAACCCAUACGCGUAAUGAAAGUGAACGGAGGUGAGAACCCGUUAGGGCGCAUCAUCGACCGAUCCUGAUGUCUUCGGAUGGAUUUGAGUAUGAGCUAAGUGGGUCGGACCCGAAAGAUGGUGAUCUAUACGUGAAUAGGGUGAAGCCAGAGGAAACUCUGGUGGAGGCUCGCAGCGGUUCUGACGUGCAAAUCGAUCGUCAAAUUUGCGUAUAGGGGCGAAAGACUAAUCG
Molecule: ribosomal RNA, 860 nt
Filed under: Lanzia sp. 6 FC-2802
Lineage: Eukaryota; Fungi; Ascomycota; Leotiomycetes; Helotiales; Rutstroemiaceae
Description: LSU rRNA
Rfam family: Eukaryotic large subunit ribosomal RNA
Source: RNAcentral